Molecule: non-coding RNA, 281 nt
Organism: Paramuricea clavata
Lineage: Eukaryota; Metazoa; Cnidaria; Anthozoa; Malacalcyonacea; Plexauridae
Source: the annotation of a GenBank genome assembly
CAGCAAUGAUUCUAGCAUAUUUUCAAUGACCCGGAAAACAACUGGGUCAAUGCACAAAGUACAGAAAUAACAAAACUUAAACUUAAAUACGAUGCACUGUAUCAAACAAAUUUCAACCCACACCUUUUAAACAGGAACUUUUUAGUACUUUGUAAACUGACCAUUUUACUAUUUCAUGACUUUUUACUAAUCUCUUUUACAAAUUUUUAUAUACAAUAGAAUUUAGUAUACUAAUACAUGCAAUAUAUGUGAGUGGUUCAAGUAAAAACGUUAUGUACAGC